AGGAGGGUAAUCCACAACCUCUAAAGUGCUAGUACACUUCCAAGCAGAGGGGUAAUCCACACUCUAACAAAGAAGAAACUAGCUCUGAUAUCUGAGGUGAGUGAAGUCUCGACAAACUCUCACGGACACAGAAUACAGACUUGAUAUCUACCAAGAAGUUCAAGAAGAAUUGGCAAGAACUAGAUUAAUCAGAUGAAUACAAGAACAACACCAAAGAGGUGAGCUAGAGCUCCAAGAGA
RNAcentral lists this long non-coding RNA (239 nucleotides) under Physcomitrium patens. Its description in RNAcentral is "long non-coding RNA (PPAT_LNC014803)". The record is from RNAcentral. Lineage: Eukaryota; Viridiplantae; Streptophyta; Bryopsida; Funariales; Funariaceae.